This 795-nucleotide long non-coding RNA is filed under the name Homo sapiens (human). Its description in RNAcentral is "HSALNT0062463". The record is from RNAcentral. Lineage: Eukaryota; Metazoa; Chordata; Mammalia; Primates; Hominidae.
AGGAGGAAUAUGUACCAAGGAACAGUAAGUGCUAUGUCAAAGGAGAAGAAGAAAUGACAACAUAUUGCUGGAAGGAGACCAGGUCUCAUUCUGUUGCUCAGGCUGGAGUGCAGUGACACAGAGUUCACUGUAAGCUUGAACUCCUGAGCUCAAGCGAUCCUCUUUCCUUAGUCUGCCGAGUAGCUGUGACUACAGGUGCAUGCCACCAUGCCUCAGCCUCUCAACGCACUGGGAUUAAAGGCGUGAGCACCUACGCCUGGCCAUGGACUUAUUUAUUUUUUUAUUUGUCAGCUGGGAACUUUGAUUCCUACUUAUUUUCUGCUCUAAUAUUUUGGCUGUUUCAAGACUCCUAAGACAUUAUCUCUCAAUGGUCAGAGAAAGACUAAUACUAUUUAUUUAUUUUCUAUAUCUUUGGUUGCCUUGAUAAAACAAAUAAUUGAGGAAAAAUAGUUUUAAACAAGAAACUUUACCUAAUGAAUCAUCAGUGAACUUAUCUAGUAUUUGGCACUUCAGAUCAUGUUUCUCCUACCCCUAUUUUAGUAGUUAGGAGAAAUCUGUAGAUUGUUUCUCUUUGAAAUCAGAACAAGUGGAUUUAAAUCCUAGAUCUGCUUCCAUCAGCUGAGUGACUUGGCUAAGUUUCUUAAGCUCUCUAGGAAUCAGUUUCUUCAUUUGGAAAAUAAGGAAUGGGCCGGGCACAGUGGCUCAUGCCUGUAAUCCCAGCACUUUGGGAGGCUGAGGCGGGCAGAUCACCUGAGGUGGGGAGUCCAAGACCAGCCUGACCAACAUGGAGAAACC